This 2532-nucleotide long non-coding RNA is filed under the name Homo sapiens (human). RNAcentral's name for it is "HSALNT0018599". The record is from RNAcentral. Lineage: Eukaryota; Metazoa; Chordata; Mammalia; Primates; Hominidae.
GUGGACUAGGAGAGACAGACCCACCCUCAAUGUGGGUGGGCACCAUCUAAUCAGCUGCCAGCAUGGCUAGAAUGAAGCAGACUUGCUGAGUUUUCCGCCCAUCUUCUUUCUCCCGUGCUGGAUGCUUCCUGCUCUCAAACAUCAAACUCAAGUUCUUCAGCUUUUGGACUCUUGGACUUACACCAGUGGUUUGCCAGGGACUCUCAGGCCUUCGGCCACAGACUGAAGGCUGCACUGUCAGCUUCCCUACCUUUGAGGUUUUGGGACUCAAAUUGGCUUCUUUGCUCCUCAGCUUGCAGAUGGCCUAUUGUGGGACUUUACCUUGUGAUCAUGUCUCUGCCUCCUCUCUGUCAGGAAGGAGAGAGAGAAGUUAACCACACAGAACUGACCACCCUCUUUACCCAGAAGGAGCUGAUCAGCCAUCUUUAGGCAGAAGGCUUCCUCCAGCUGCACCCAGAUUCCCCUUCUGUCUCCCACAGCACCCUGGGCUUACUUCUCCAGAUCAUGUAACACCCUGUGCUAAGAUUGUUUAUCUCUUGUCUGACUUCUUGAGUGGAUCAUAAGCUCUUUGAAUGCAGGCAUUGUGUCUUCUCACUCGCAACAUCUCCAGUGUUGAGGACAGAAGUGCCCACAGUGCAUAGGAUAUACUCAAUAAAGGAUUAUCAAAUGUCAUGGAAAUAAGGCCUUAAUUUAAAUUCAGUGGGAAGAGAUUUUCUUGAACUUUAAGAAGACUUGGGGACAAAAUUUGAACUUCUUGUAUGUGUUUCUCCUCAAAGAGCAUAGCUCUGCCUUAAUUCUUCUGAAUCUGACAUCGAGCCUCUGGAGUUUACUAGACUCUUAGGCUGGGAAGCUCUUGGUCCAUUUUUGAUCCACUGCAUUCUGCAGUGAGAUGAAGCCCAUUCCUCUGACAUCCCACUUGGUGUGCCAUGCUGAUAAACCCAUAACACUGAUGCUGUAGAUUAAUGGCAUGCCUUCACUUAUGAACACUUUUUCCCCAUGGUGACUAAUGGCAUUUUGAUGGUGUCUCCUUAGACAGCUGCCUAAAUAUAAAGCAGUAUGAGCUAAAAGAAUAAAUUGAAAAUGUCAGUCGUUUUGUGUAAUCCUUCCAUAAUAUUAUCUGGGAGCCCAGCCUAGCUUUAUGGAAAUCAUUCAGUAGAAUCAGACAAGAUUUUUCCUACAGCACUUUUAUGUUUGCAAAACCAUCAUCAUUGUCAGCUUUAAUUAAUAUUUAUUUCUGUGUAUCACACCUCAUGUUAAUAACUCUCCUCCAGGACUAUUAACAAAAUCCAGAACUGUUAUUUUUCAAUAGAGGAAGCGGAGGUAUACACAGAGGUUUGACAGCUUGCUUAAGGCUACAGGAUAAACUCAGAGUCAAGCUGAGACCAGGAGGCACAGAUCUUCAUCUCCCUGAGAAGGGCGGCUGCUCUAGGGUCAGCUUUGGGACAUAUGCCUCACCUUUGUGUGCCCAUCAGACAAAGUGAGCCACCUGGUAGCUAUGCCUGGACAUGGUAAGAAGCACGCUUUUGAAAUGAAGAGGGAGCCAUCUCAUUUUCCUGGCAUAUGUCACAUCUCUUACUGAAGGGAGAGACCCAUAGCUGCCUGUAUUGUCCGUUGGGGCAUGUCACGGUCUAGAGACAUAUGAAAGACAAAAAAGCUCACUUGUCAUCUGCCUUUCAGUCUAGGAGAGACAGCCCGAGACUGCUGCCGUGGUGGCUGUGAGACGCUGUGUCACAUAUUAAUUAGGAGGAGCAUAUGUAGCAUUUCUAAGCCAGGGGCCAUUUGUGGCGGCAGCAGCCACGCAGGAGGCAGGGAGUGCAGCUAGUAGCUAAAUGGAGGGUUUAGGAUGCAGGUUCUCGGCUCAGACACCGGGAAUGAAUCCGUUAAGAGAAUGUUGCGGCCCUCCAGGCCCCGCUCCUCCUGCCUCGCAGGUGCAGUCACUUGCUGCCCUGGGUUCCCGCGCAACCAGAAGCUUCCUGGGCCCAGCGAAAGUUCUCAUCCCCUGCUCUGUAGCCCUUGAGACGCGCGGGAGGGUUGGAAAAGCCGAGCCGAUUGUGGGUGGCAGGCCUCCACAGAGAUCGAUUUGAAGGCAGAAGCUGAACUCAUCAUACCUCUUUAGAGAAGAAGUAGUAACGUGCCCUUUUCGCUCAACAAAAACCUGGGCAAGGCCAAGGGAAAGGAUAGCAUGCCCCAUGCGGUGAGCAAGGGCGCGUGCGCAGAGUAGCCCGGCCCAACACUCACCUGGAAAUGCGGCUGGGCCAGGGUACAAAUCACAGUCUCUCUUCCAUCCCCGCCCCUGCCACCCACUUCCCUCCUCCGACUUGGCUUUCUGCGAGUGCGCGUGAGGAGAGACUUAUCCAAGGUCAGGGACAGAAGUCAGAAGAUCCUGAUGGUUGCCUGCUCCUUACUAACUGUGUAGCCUUUGGUGCCAUGUUGUGAGGAAACCCAGAUCACAUUAAGAGGCCACGAGUAAGUGUUCCAAACGACAGACCCUGCUAAGGUCUCAGCUGACAGCCAGCAUCAACUGCCAGACAA